CCUCCCCAGUCUUGCGCUCAGUGGUGUGCAGCAUUUGAACAGAGGCAGACAGGGGAAGCAGAAUCAGUAGCUAGACAUGACCUUAGAAUAAAUUUGAGGAGUAACCCGAUGGUUUCAAACCACGGACCUUGAACAUCUGGAUUUCCCUUCGUAUUGGAUAUUUAAUUUAAAAGGAGGUGUUGGAGGAAUAUCUCCCCUCAGCGUUGGACUCUAUCUACCAGUUCCUCAGCAUAAAACCAUACCUGGCGCAGGUCUCAGAGUCUCCUUAAUCUUAUUUGUAGAUAGACAGCGAGCCCGGCUGGCGACACAUUACAGAGUAUCUUUAUUUAAAGCGCUUUAACAGAAAAUGCGAAUCCCUGCCUUCUCCGUGAGGGAGCCGAACCCCCGUCGUUGGCAUCUGAAACAGCUGGCUUGUGUCUAGAAAAUUGUGGAUUAACGAUUUUUUUUACCCCUUAUCAAAAGGAACCUCGGACGUCUUUCAGUGGCCUGUAGCCACAAUGAGCGUCGAUUUAAUUGAAUUAACUACAUGAGCGGUGUCAAAAGAAACGCGUUUCUCUCCGAUUUAAAAAGGGAAAAAACCCAUAUCUGCUGAAAUAAACGGCGCCAGGAAAACAUGGAAAACGAGGUGUUCACUCCUUUGCUGGAGCAGUUCAUGCUCACACCUCUGGUCUGCUGGGUGAAGACGGUCGGACACUCGACGGUGACCGAUGGCACCAAAUUAUCGGAAUAUAUUGAAUUAGUGGAUGGGAUUUACCUGAAUGAGAUAAUGCUUGAGAUAAAUCCCAAAGCCACAGUGCAGCGCACCAACAAGAAAGUGAACAAUGACUCCACACUGCGCAUCCAGAACCUUUCUAUUCUCAUUAGGCAGAUUAAAUCCUACUAUCAGGAGUGUCUCCAACAGCUGGUGAUGAUGCCUUUACCAAAUGUGCUGAUACUGGGCCGGAACCCCCUCUCUGCACAAGGUCUGGAAGAGAUGAAGAAACUGUUGCUGUUGCUACUAGGCUGUGCUGUCCAGUGUGAGAAGAAGGAAGAGUACAUUGAGCGUAUCCAGACUCUGGACUUUGACACCAAAGCUGCCAUAGCAUCACAUAUCCAAGAGGUGACUCAUAACCAAGAAAAUGUAGUGGACCUGCAGUGGUUGGAAAGUGGUGAAAUACCUCCAGAGGAUCUGGACAGCCUCUCCAGAAACCUGGCUUUCCACCUCAAGCGCCUGGUGGAUGAAAGGGACACACAGCUUGAGACUAUAGUAGAGCUUACCCAGGAGAGAGACUGUGUGCAGCUCUCUCCACUGGCUCCCUGUUCAACCCAGUCUCCCGGUGACUCUCCCAGUAUGAGGAGGACUGAGAGCCGACAGCACCUCUCUGUGGAGUUGGCUGAUGCCAAGGCCAAGAUAAGACGCCUUCGGCAGGAACUAGAGGAGAAGAGUGAGCAGCUUUUGGACACCAGGCAGGAGCUUGAGAACAUGGAGGUCGAGCUCAAGAGACUUCAGCAAGAGAGCUAUCAGCUGCUGUCAGAUGCUCGGUCGGCUCGGGCCUAUCGUGACGAGCUGGAUUCGCUCCGAGAGAAAGCGAUACGCGUGGACAAGCUGGAGAGCGAGCUGAGCCGAUACAAGGAGAGACUUCAUGACAUCGAGUUUUACAAGGCCAGAGUUGAGGAGCUGAAGGAGGACAACCAGAUUCUGCUGGAGACUAAGACGAUGCUGGAGGAGCAGCUAGAUGCUAGCAGGACCCGGUCCGACAAAUUACAUCUCCUGGAGAAGGAGAAUCUACAGGUCAAAUCAAAGAUCCACGACCUGGAGAUGGAGCGGGACAUGGACCGUAAGCGAAUGAAGGAGCUGUUAGAGGAGAACCUUGUGCUUGAGAUGGCACAGAAACAGAGCAUGGAUGAAUCCCUGCACCUUGGAUGGGAGCUGGAACAAUUAUCAAAGACACCAGAGCUAACAGAAGCCCCUCAGAAGUCUCUGGGGGAGGAGGUGAAUGAGCUAACGUCAAGCCGUCUGCUAAAGCUGGAGAAAGACAACCAGACCCUGCUGAAGACGGUUGAGGAACUCAGAGCAGCGGCCAGUCAGGACACUGUGACAAAACUGGUCAAAGCUAACCAGGAAAACCAGAAGCUGAGCAAGAAAUUGGAGUCGUUGGAGAGCGAACUGACAGCAGACAGAGAGUCGCUCCGCAGUGCCGAAUCUCUCAGUACUGACCUGAUGAAGGAGAAGGCUUUGCUGGAGAAGACUCUGGAAACCCUCAGAGAAAACUCAGAGAGACAGAUGAAGGGUCUCGAACAGGAGAACAAGCACCUGAGCCAAACCGUGUCGUCUCUGCGUCAGCGCUGCCAGGUGGGUGCCGAGGCCCGGGUCAAGGAUGUGGAAAAAGAGAACCGCAUUCUCCACGAGUCGAUCUGUGAGACAACUGCCAAACUAAAUAAGAUGGAGUUUGAAAGGAAACAGCUGCGCAAAGAGCUUGAAGUUAUGAAGGAGAAAGGAGAAAGAGCAGAAGAGCUGGAAAUUCAGAUACAGAAGUUGGAAAGGGAAAACGAGAGCCUGCAGAAGAAAGUUGCCAGUCUUGGAAUCACCUGUGAAAAGGUGGCUUCUUUGGAGAAGGAGAAUAGUGAGCUGGAGGCAGAAGGCCGCCGCCUCAAGAAGAAGCUGGACACCCUGAAAAACAUGGCCUUCCAGCUGGAGGCUUUGGAAAAAGAAAACACUCAACUGGAGCAGGAGAACCUGGAGCUUCGACGCUCAGCUGAGAGUCUCCGCUCGGCGGGGGCUAAGGCUGCUCAGCUGGAGGCCGAGAACAGGGAGCUGGAGAGCGAGAAGAGCCAACUGAAACGCAGUCUGGAGCUGCUCAAAGCCUCGUCUAAGAAGACUGAGAGAUUAGAGGUGAGCUACCAGGGCCUAGAUACUGAGAACCAGCGCCUGCAGAAGGCUUUAGAGAACAGCAGCAAGAAGAUCCAGCAGUUGGAGGCAGAGCUGCAAGAGGUGGAGUCUGAGAAUCAGUCCCUCCAGCGUAACCUGGAGGAGCUCAAGAUCUCCAGUAAACGUCUCGAGCAGCUGGAGCAGGAGAACAAGGCUCUGGAGUUGGAAAGCUCCCAGCUAGAGAAAGACAAGAAGCUCCUGGAAAAGGAGAACAAGCGACUGAGGCAGCAGGCUGAGAUCCGCGACUCAAAGCUGGAUGAUAGCAACCAGCGCAUCACUACCCUGGAGAAGGAAAAUCGGACAAUGGGCAAGGAGAUGAUCUUUUUCAGGGACUCCUGUACAAGAGUCAAGGACCUGGAAAGGGAGAAAAAGGAGCUGGUCAAACAGGCCACGAUCGAUAAGAAGACCCUUGUCACGCUCAGAGAGGAGCUUGUGAGUGAGAAGCUGCGGACUCAGCAGAUGACCAAUGAUCUUGAGAAACUGACCCAUGAGUUGGAAAAGAUUGGACUGAACAAAGAGAGGCUCCUGCAUGACGAGAGCUCAGACGACAGGUUUAAGCUCCUGGAAACCAAACUGGAGUCGACCCUGAAAUCAACUCUGGAGAUCAAAGAGGAGAAAAUUGCUGCACUUGAGGCAAGACUGCAGGAGUCCUCCAACCUUAACCAGCAGCUUCGCCAGGAGCUGAAAACGGUGAAGAAAAACUACGAGGCGCUCCGGCAGAGAGAGGAGGAGGAGAGGAUGGUGCAGAGCUCGCCCCCUAAAGUGGGGGAAGACCCUCAGGCUGUCAGUAAAUGGGAGAAAGAAAGCCAUGAAGCAACCAGAGAACUGCUAAAAGUCAAAGACAGACUCAUUGAAGUGGAGAGGAAUAAUGCUACUCUGCAGGCUGAGAAGGUGGCCCUGAGGAGCCAACUCAAACAACUGGAAACCCAAAACUCCAACCUGCAGGCUCAGAUAGUGGCUGUGCAGAGGCAGACGGCCUCUUUACAGGAGAACAAUACAACGCUACAGACGCAGAAUGCCAAACUACAGGUGGAAAACUCAACUCUGAGCUCACAGAGCGCAUCCCUGAUGGCCCAGAACGCCCAGCUGCAGACCCAGCAGAGCAGUGUGGAAGGAGAGCGUGAAGGAGCGCUGAGGGAGAAAGAGGAGCUGAGAGCUACCUAUGAACUGCUGCUGCGCGAUCACGAGAAGCUGGCAGCGCUCCACGAGAGGCAGGCAGCCGAAUAUGAAGCGCUGAUCGGGAAGCACGGUGGGCUGAAGACCUCCCACAAGAGCCUGGAACAGCAGCACAGGGACUUGGAGGACAAGUACAAACAGCUCUUGCAGAGAAAGGGGGAGCUGGAGGAGCUGGAGAAGAAUCUGAAGGAGCAGCAGGAAAAGAUGGCCCUGGAGAAUCAGACCCACCAAGCUACAGCUGACCAGUACAAACUGCUCAAAGAGGAAAAUGAUAGGUUGAAUAGCACCUAUCGUCAGCUCUUGAAGGACAAUGAAAAUCUCCAGCUGGACCAUAAAAACCUAAAGAGCCAGUUGAACAGUGCAAAGCUGGACCAAACCAAGCUGGAGGCUGAGUUUUCUAAACUGAAGGAGCAGUACCAGCAGCUGGACAUCACCUCCACCAAGCUAACCAACCAGUGUGAGUUGUUGAGCCAGCUGAAGGGAAACUUGGAGGAAGAGAACCGUCACCUGUUAGAUCAAAUCCAGACUUUGAUGUUACAAAAUCGCACACUGCUGGAGCAGACCAUGGAGAGCAAGGACCUGUUCCACGUAGAGCAAAGACAAUACAUAGAUAAGCUGAACGAGCUGAGGAGGCAGAAGGAGAAGUUGGAGGAGAAGAUCAUGGACCAGUACAAGUUCUAUGACCCUUCACCUCCACGCAGGCGCGGCAACUGGAUUACUCUAAAGAUGAAGAAGCUGAUCAAGCCGAAGAGCCGGGACAGGAUCCGGUCUCUCACACUGACUCCAUCUCGAUCAGAGUUUGGAGACAGUUUUCUGAUGUUUCCCCAGGACAGCCAGGACAGCUCAUCCAUAGGCUCGGGCACCAACUCGCUAGAUGACACGCUCUCACACAUGAGCAGCAGGAGGAGAGGGCAGCAGUCUCAUGCCCAAGUGCAGGGUUCCUCCAAUGCUAUAAAAAGGUUGCCUUUCAUGAGGAACAGAUCCAAGGACAAAGACAAGGCCAAGGCCAUCUACCGGCGCUCCAUGUCUAUGAAUGACCUGCUUCAGACCAUGGCAAUGGCAGGCGGUCCUGAGGCUCAGUGGGCGGGCAGCAGUGAGAAUCUAGACGGGGCUGAAGCCGGAGAUGCCAACAUGACGGGCAGCAGCAGGCGCAGCGGGCAGCGCAUGAAGGAACUCGCCUUUUCCACCAAUGCCAUUGAUUGUGCCACCCUCACCCUGCCUAGUUCAAGUCACAGUAGAGCCAAGCACAGGCUUCAGGUCAAAGACAAUGCCUCCUGCGAGGAUGUCGCCGGCUCAUUGGAUGAUCCCAAGAGUCAAGGGCCACAGAGGUAUAUGUCUCCCUGCCAUUUGAAUCGUUGUGCUGUUGGUCUGAGCGCUGUGUGCAGAGUGUCCUGUAGCAUCUGUACCGCCAGACCCUCCAGUCUUCAUAGCAACAGGACCACCAGUAGUAAUAGUAACAAUAACUCCCACCUCACUUCUCCUCUGGAGGGCAAAGGCACAUUGAACGGCAGUCUGAGCAGGCCUCACAGCGAGAGCAGCGGUGAGUUCAGCCUGAGUCUGGACCAGGAGGUGUGGUCCAGCAGCGGCAGCAGCCCCGUCCAGCAGCCCACCUCCUCACGCUCCUCCCACCAGAGCCCCCUGCAGCUGCGCAGAUCUCUUGACCCAUCCGCCGCCGUGGGCAGCGCGGUCCAAUCCCAGAUCAGGAAGACGGGAUCCCCAGGGAACGAGGUGCUUUCCCUGCAGCAGUUCCUGGAUGAGGGUAUUGAUCCUGCAGAGUCUGGCAGUCAGGAGAACCUCACUGUAGACUCUCCUCGCCUCUCCUCCACCUCUGAGCACGGCCAGAAAGAACGCACUGUCACAAAGGGCCGGGGCAUACUGCGCUCGUCCAGCGGGAAGGCAGCAGCAGUCAGCGCUGACCGGCCUCCGAGGUCUUCCGGACAACCAGGACGCCCUUCCCUGCGGAAGGCCGAGAGCACACGGGUGAAAGGCUCCGCCCCGAUCCGCGCCAGCCUGUCUUCACAGGGCAAAGCGACCUCUGUCUCCGAACGGCUCGAUUCAGCCUCCUCCACCCUGCCCCGGGCCAGCAGUGUCAUCUCCACUGCUGAAGGUACCACACGGCGUACCAGCAUCCACGACCUGCUGUCCAAGGACAACCGGCAGCCCGUUUCGGUUGACGCUCCUGCCGCUGCUGCUUCCACCAGGGCUGGGCUACGCUCGCAGCCCACACCCAAUGUGGAGGGCAGAAAGUCUAAAAGCAGGAGCGGGGAGCCGCAGCAAAGCUGCUAAACCCUGUCCCCCCCACCCUCGUCUGUCUGCUACCAUGCUGUGAGCGCGUGGACACUUCAGUAGAGAAAAGUGGCUUCCUUCUCUGUUUUCUUCUUUCUUCCUUGAAUCAAGGAAACAACUUAAAAUUAUUAGAAAAUGUUACAGUGACAGUUUUUAUUUGUUUUCUUUCCACUAAGACUCCGAUGGCAGAUUGCACUGCCACGUGUCCUUCAGUGUGACGGACAGUUAGACAUGCACUAGUCUCUGUGGACUAAAAUUAAAGUGCCAGUGUUCACACAACAGCCAACAGGGCAACCUUGAACCAGUGAGACAGACCUUCUUCUGCCCAGUGCCAUGGUCAUAAAACAUUUUGUAACUGGGCAGAACGCACAAACAAAGACAACAUGAAGCAUGUCCGAAGAAUCACAAUCUGCAUGGAGCAAUCAGUCAAUCAUCCCGCUUCCUUUAUCCAAUCAAAGAGAACAGUGUUCAACGGAAACAUGCCAGGAUGCCAAAUGGACUCCGACAGGAAGCCAUGACAGCUUGAUUGAGUGAAGGUAGUGUGAGAGAGAAGUAGGGACUUAUCAUGGGAGUGUUUCAGGUCACCUAUAAGGCAGAGACACACCCUGAGAAAAACCCUACAUGUAGUUCAUCUUCACCCUUCAUUUUCAUUUCACCAAAUGGCACUGAAGCAUCUCAUUUAUCACUUCCAUUGCUGCUCUAAUCCAGAGAAUAACUGUAAAAGCACAGUCUUUACAUUCUAAAAAGACACUCCGUAAGGAAGCGUUUAAUAAAUCUGUCUGAAGUAUAGGUGACCUGCGACCUGCCCAGUGCAAACGGAGCAUGUGCAGACUUCUGUUGUGUUGAACAUGUUGGCAGUGAUGAGACCCAGUGUUUUCCUCCUUUUCCACUUUUACAUGAAUUCAUUUGAUGUAAUUAAAAUUCAUCAAGACUA
RNA transcript from Haplochromis burtoni (Burton's mouthbrooder), 7304 nucleotides. It is a transcript of the gene named girdin, with no coding region annotated. The record is from RefSeq and is a predicted model, not a curated record. The transcript is spliced from 39 exons. Lineage: Eukaryota; Metazoa; Chordata; Actinopteri; Cichliformes; Cichlidae.